Molecule: ribosomal RNA, 360 nt
Filed under: uncultured bacterium
Lineage: Bacteria
Description: partial 16S ribosomal RNA
Rfam family: Bacterial small subunit ribosomal RNA
Source: RNAcentral
CCUACGGGUGGCUGCAGUAGGGAAUCUUCCACAAUGGGCGAAAGCCUGAUGGAGCAACGCCGCGUGGGUGAAGAAGGUCUUAGGAUCGUAAAACCCUGUUGUUAGAGAAGCAAGUGCGUGAGAGUAACUGUUCACGUUUCGACGGUAUCUAACCAGAAAGCCAAGGCUAACUACGUGCCAGCAGCCGCGGUAAUACGUAGGUGGCAAGAGUUAUCCGGAUUUAUUGGGCGUAAAGGGAACGCGGGCGGUCUUUUAAGUGUGAUGUGAAAGCCUUCGGCUUAACCGGAGUAGUGCAUUGGAAACUGGGAGACGUGAGUGCAAGAGAGGAAAGUGGAACGCGAGGGUGAGCGGGGAAAUGCG